RNAcentral lists this unclassified non-coding RNA (377 nucleotides) under fungal sp. RNAcentral describes it as "partial internal transcribed spacer region". The stretch from base 1 to 46 matches the Rfam family "Eukaryotic small subunit ribosomal RNA", at positions 1786 to 1831 of the family's 1831-position model. The record is from RNAcentral. Lineage: Eukaryota; Fungi.
AAGUCGUAACAAGGUUUCCGUAGGUGAACCUGCGGAAGGAUCAUUAACACGUUUUUUUAAACCAAAACGUACUAAAACUCUGUGAACGAGAUUUCCAAAUAUUUAAUCUCCUAUGGGAUUAUAUUUGGGUUCAUAAAUCUCACCAUUUUUUUUAAUCAUAUCACCAACCCCUAAAACUGCGUAUUUGUGUUAAUAUGAUUGGGAAGUAAAAUUCCCUUCAUAUUAUUUACUUUUGCGUAUGUUUGUAACUAAACUUUUUUUCAUUUCAUGCCUAAAAAACAUGAAAGCAAAAAGAUGAUAUUAUCUUCGGAUAUAUCUUAUCUUUUUAUGAACCAUAAACUGUUGUACAACUCUUAGCAACGGAUAUCUUGGUUCCC